UUGGGAAUAUUGGACAAUGGGGGGAACCCUGAUCCAGCAAUGCCGCGUGGGUGAUGAAGGCCUUCGGGUUGUAAAGCCCUUUUGGCGGGGACGAUGAUGACGGUACCCGCAGAAUAAGCCCCGGCUAACUUCGUGCCAGCAGCCGCGGUAAUACGAAGGGGGCUAGCGUUGUUCGGAAUUACUGGGCGUAAAGGGCGCGUAGGCGGCCGUGCAAGUCAGAUGUGAAAGCCCUGGGCUCAACCCAGGAGGUGCAUUUGAUACUGCAUGGCUAGAGUGUCGGAGAGGAUGGUGGAAUUCCCAGUGUAGAGGUGAAAUUCGUAGAUAUUGGGAAGAACACCGGUGGCGAAGGCGACCAUCUGGACGACAACUGACGCUGAGGCGCGAAAGCGUGGGGAGCAAACAGGAUUAGAUACCCUGGUAGUCCACGCCGUAAACUAUGCGUGUUGGACGUUGGCGAGCCUAGCUCGUCGGUGUCGCAGCUAACGCGUUAAACACGCCGCCUGGGGAGUACGGCCGCAAGGUUA
RNAcentral lists this ribosomal RNA (524 nucleotides) under uncultured bacterium. RNAcentral's name for it is "bacterial SSU rRNA". It matches the Rfam family "Bacterial small subunit ribosomal RNA", at positions 355 to 896 of the family's 1533-position model. The record is from RNAcentral.